Molecule: ribosomal RNA, 174 nt
Filed under: uncultured bacterium
Lineage: Bacteria
Description: partial 16S ribosomal RNA
Rfam family: Bacterial small subunit ribosomal RNA
Source: RNAcentral
GCUGGAAUCGCUAGUAAUCGCGAAUCAGAAUGUCGCGGUGAAUACGUUCUCGGGCCUUGUACACACCGCCCGUCACACCAUGGGAGUCGGUAACACCCGAAGUCUGUAGCCUGACGCAAGAGGGCGCAGCCGAAGGUGGGAUUGAUGACUGGGGUGAAGUCGUAACAAGGUACC